Molecule: long non-coding RNA, 207 nt
Filed under: Mytilus galloprovincialis (Mediterranean mussel)
Lineage: Eukaryota; Metazoa; Mollusca; Bivalvia; Mytilida; Mytilidae
Source: RNAcentral
GUAUACAUCCGCCGCCACGUAAAGUCGGAAUUUGGAUAUAAAAUGCAAUGCUUCGUUAGUGAGAGUGGAUCCGUCUUAUUAUUAUUUUACAAUUGGAGUGGAAAUUCUCGUCCUUCAUCGUAAUCGACAUACUUUUUACAACCUACCUAUUUCAUUAAUUGAACAAUUGUUGAUACAUUCUUGUCCUGAAUAUGCGUGAAAUACUUG